GGCCCAAUGGUCUAGUAGUAUGAUACGUGCUUCGGGUGGCUUCAACCCGGUACUCAGGACCAUAAGAUUGCACGGGGUCCCGGGUUCAAUUCCCGGUUGGGCCC
Lentinus tigrinus ALCF2SS1-7 is the source of this 104-nucleotide non-coding RNA. Lineage: Eukaryota; Fungi; Basidiomycota; Agaricomycetes; Polyporales; Polyporaceae. The record is from the annotation of a GenBank genome assembly.